GCAAACUGACCGUGGUUAGUUGUAACUGCCUAGCUAUUAACGCGUAUUAAUCCUUCUAUAAAUACCCACGCCUUGCAACUCUUUUGUUCAGCACUUUGCACCGAUUAACGCAUCAACACCUCUCCACAAAGAAUGGAUAACAAGAAAAAUCUUCCUUCCUCUUCCCCGGGCUCAAGCACACCACGUCCUCUGGGAAGGGGACGAAUCAAGAUUCCAGCUUCCAAACCUCCACGCACUAGAAUCCUUCGCCCUAGGCCGGCACCAGCCAAGGUAGUAGAAACCAUCAUUCUCUCUUCUGAUUCUUCAAGCUCUAGUUCAGAUGAUGAAGAUGAGGAUUACCUUGAGUUCCUCAGUACCC
RNAcentral lists this long non-coding RNA (358 nucleotides) under Trifolium pratense (red clover). RNAcentral describes it as "long non-coding RNA (TPRA_LNC006083)". The record is from RNAcentral. Lineage: Eukaryota; Viridiplantae; Streptophyta; Magnoliopsida; Fabales; Fabaceae.